Molecule: long non-coding RNA, 240 nt
Filed under: Carica papaya (papaya)
Lineage: Eukaryota; Viridiplantae; Streptophyta; Magnoliopsida; Brassicales; Caricaceae
Description: long non-coding RNA (CPAP_LNC000935)
Source: RNAcentral
UUCGAUGGUAUUUUUGAAAGAAAAAUAGGAAAUUGGGGGUAAAAAUAUAAGUAAGUAAAAUUGCGUCUCGUAGGGCUGCUCAGUUAAUAGCCCCAUUGAACCGGAACGUGCCACAUGGCAAAGCACGCUAACUCGGUGCCACGCGGGAGGCUACGCUGGCAAUACAGGUACCCGCGAUUAAACGGUCUAGAUGCGUUCUCGCGAGCGUGGACGGUCCGGAUCCAUUCCCUCCUUAGACAC